Molecule: ribosomal RNA, 503 nt
Filed under: uncultured bacterium
Lineage: Bacteria
Description: partial 16S ribosomal RNA
Rfam family: Bacterial small subunit ribosomal RNA
Source: RNAcentral
AACGAACGCUGGCGGCGUGCCUAACACAUGCAAGUCGAACGAGAAAGGGGCUUCGGCUCCGAGUAAAGUGGCGCGCGGGUGAGUAACACGUGGGUAACCUGCCUCUAAGAUUGGGAUAACUCGUCGAAAGAUGAGCUAAUACCGAAUAAGACCACAGUUCCCGCGGGAACAGGGGUCAAAGGUAGCCUCUGCUUGCAAGCUAUCACUUAGAGAUGGGCCUGCGCACCAUUAGCUAGUUGGUAGGGUAACGGCCUACCAAGGCAAAGAUGGUUAGCUGGUCUGAGAGGAUGAUCAGCCACACUGGAACUGAGACACGGUCCAGACUCCUACGGGAGGCAGCAGUGGGGAAUAUUGCGCAAUGGGCGAAAGCUUGACGCAGCAACGCCGCGUGAGUGAUGAAGGCCUUCGGGUCGUAAAGCUCUGUCGGGAGGAACGAAUGCUCCUGAGGUUAACAGCCUCGGGAGGUGACGGUACCUUCAAAGGAAGCACCGGCUAACUCUGUG